Molecule: ribosomal RNA, 467 nt
Filed under: uncultured bacterium
Lineage: Bacteria
Description: partial 16S ribosomal RNA
Rfam family: Bacterial small subunit ribosomal RNA
Source: RNAcentral
GGAUGAACGCUGGCGGCGUGCUUACCCCAUGCAAGUCGAACGAUGAAGCCCAGCUUGCUGGGUGGAUUAGUGGCGAACGGGUGAGUAACACGUGAGUAACCUGCCCUUAACUCUGGGAUAAGCCUGGGAAACUGGGUCUAAUACCGGAUAGGAGCGUCCACCGCAUGGUGGGUGUUGGAAAGAUUUAUCGGUUUUGGAUGGACUCGCGGCCUAUCAGCUUGUUGGUGAGGUAAUGGCUCACCAAGGCGACGACGGGUAGCCGGCCUGAGAGGGUGACCGGCCACACUGGGACUGAGACACGGCCCAGACUCCUACGGGAGGCAGCAGUGGGGAAUAUUGCACAAUGGGCGCAAGCCUGAUGCAGCGACGCCGCGUGAGGGAUGACGGCCUUCGGGUUGUAAACCUCUUUCAGUAGGGAAGAAGCGAAAGUGACGGUACCUGCAGAAGAAGCACCGGCUAACUACGUG